UGAACGCUGGCGGCGUGCCUAACACAUGCAAGUCGAGCGGUAACAGGUGUAGCAAUACAUGCUGACGAGCGGCGAACGGGUGAGUAAUGCUUCGGAAUCUGCCCAAUGGUGGGGAAUAACCAGCCGAAAGGUUGGCUAAUACCGCAUAAGUCCUACGGGGGAAAGCAGGGGAUCGCAAGACCUUGCGCCGAUGGAUGAGCCGAAGUCGGAUUAGCUAGUUGGUAGGGUAACGGCCUACCAAGGCGACGAUCCGUAGCUGGUCUGAGAGGACGACCAGCCACACUGGGACUGAGACACGGCCCAGACUCCUACGGGAGGCAGCAGUGGGGAAUAUUGGACAAUGGGGGAAACCCUGAUCCAGCGACGCCGCGUGUGUGAAGAAGGCCUGCGGGUUGUAAAGCACUUUUAGUGGGGAUGAAAAGCUCAGGGCUAAUACCUCUGGGUCUUGACCUAACCCAAAGAAAAAGCACCGGCUAACUCUGUGCCAGCAGCCGCGGUAAUACAGAGGGUGCGAGCGUUAAUCGGAAUUACUGGGCGUAAAGCGUGCGUA
Molecule: ribosomal RNA, 550 nt
Filed under: uncultured bacterium
Lineage: Bacteria
Description: bacterial SSU rRNA
Rfam family: Bacterial small subunit ribosomal RNA
Source: RNAcentral